AGUGAACGCUGGCGGUAGGCCUAACACAUGCAAGUCGAACGGCAGCACAGUAAGAGCUUGCUCUUACGGGUGGCGAGUGGCGGACGGGUGAGGAAUACAUCGGAAUCUACUUUUUCGUGGGGGAUAACGUAGGGAAACUUACGCUAAUACCGCAUACGACCUACGGGUGAAAGCAGGGGAUCUUCGGACCUUGCGCGAUUGAAUGAGCCGAUGUCGGAUUAGCUAGUUGGCGGGGUAAAGGCCCACCAAGGCGACGAUCCGUAGCUGGUCUGAGAGGAUGAUCAGCCACACUGGAACUGAGACCAGGUCCCGACUCCUACGGGAGGCAGCAGUGGGGAAUAUUGGACAAUGGGCGCAAGCCUGAUCCAGCCAUACCGCGUGGGUGAAGAAGGCCUUCGGGUUGUAAAGCCCUUUUGUUGGGAAAGAAAAGCAGCAGGUUAAUACCCCGCUGUUCUGACGGUACCCAAAGAAUAAGCACCGGCUAACUUCGUG
This 492-nucleotide ribosomal RNA is filed under the name uncultured bacterium. Its description in RNAcentral is "partial 16S ribosomal RNA". It matches the Rfam family "Bacterial small subunit ribosomal RNA", at positions 29 to 507 of the family's 1533-position model. The record is from RNAcentral.